ACCGAUAGCGAACAAGUACCGUGAGGGAAAGUUGAAAAGGACUUUGAAGAGAGAGUUCAAGAGUACGUGAAACCGUUCAGGGGUAAACCUGAGAAACCCAAAAGAUCGAAUGGGGAGAUUCACCGUCAGCGACGUCGGCUUCUCGGAGGUUCGUGAUGCCGGGGACCUCGGUCUCGCGGUACGCGUCCUCUGCGUUUCCUUUAUGCCCGGCGGCGUCGGCGUGCACUUCUCCCCUAGUAGAACGUCGCGACCCGUUGGGUGUCGGUCUACGGCCCGAGCGGUUGACUGUCUCGUCGCCUCACGGCGCACGGAACAGACCCUCGGUUGCCCGGCCGGCUGCCCGGCGGUACUCGCACGGUAUCGGGCCGCUAAAUUCGAACAGCGUCAGGCCCGCCGCAAGCGCCGAUUAGUCUCUCGUCGGUAACGGACCUAGUGCCGUCCGCGGAGCUGAUCCGCUGUUGGUCGGCGGUGUCCUCUGACUGGCCAAUUGCAAACGAUACCGGUCGGCGACGCUACUGCUUUGGGUACUCUCAGGACCC
RNAcentral lists this ribosomal RNA (539 nucleotides) under Apoidea sp. DAB135. RNAcentral describes it as "eukaryotic LSU rRNA". It matches the Rfam family "Eukaryotic large subunit ribosomal RNA", at positions 333 to 650 of the family's 3401-position model. The record is from RNAcentral. Lineage: Eukaryota; Metazoa; Arthropoda; Insecta; Hymenoptera.